Molecule: ribosomal RNA, 497 nt
Filed under: uncultured bacterium
Lineage: Bacteria
Description: partial 16S ribosomal RNA
Rfam family: Bacterial small subunit ribosomal RNA
Source: RNAcentral
GAUGAACGCUGGCGGCGUGCCUAAUACAUGCAAGUCGAGCGAACAGACGAGGAGCUUGCUCCUCUGACGUUAGCGGCGGACGGGCGAGUAACACGUGGAUAACCUACCUAUAAGACUGGGAUAACUUCGGGAAACCGGAGCUAAUACCGGAUAAUAUAUUGAACCGCAUGGUUCAAUAGUGAAUGACGGUUUUGCUGUCACUUAUAGAUGGAUCCGCGCCGCAUUAGCUAGUUGGUAAGGUAACGGCUUACCAAGGCUACGAUGCGUAGCCGACCUGAGAGGGUGAUCGGCCACACUGGAACUGAGACACGGUCCAGACUCCUACGGGAGGCAGCAGUGGGGAAUCUUCCGCAAUGGGCGAAAGCCUGACGGAGCAACGCCGCGUGGGUGAUGAAGGUCUUCGGAUCGUAAAGCUCUGUUAUUAGGGAAGAACAAAUGUGUAAGUAACUAUGCACGUCUUGACGGUACCUAAUCAGAAAGCCACGGCUAACUACGUG